RNAcentral lists this ribosomal RNA (505 nucleotides) under uncultured bacterium. RNAcentral describes it as "bacterial SSU rRNA". It matches the Rfam family "Bacterial small subunit ribosomal RNA", at positions 255 to 776 of the family's 1533-position model. The record is from RNAcentral.
AGGUAAUGGCUCACCAAGGCAUCGACGGGUAGCGGGACUGAGAGGUUGGCCCGCAACAUCGGAACUGAGACACUGUCCGGACCUCCACGGAGGGCUGCAGUAACGAAUAUUGCGCAAUGGGCGAAAGCCUGAUGCAGCAACACCGCGUGUGCGAUGAAGGCCUUCGGGUCGUAAAGCACUUUUUGAGAGGAUGAGAAAGGACAGUACUCUCAGAAUAAGUCUCGGCUAACUACGUGCCAGCAGCCGCGGUAACACGUAGGAGGCAAGCGUUAUCCGGAUUUACUGGGCGUAAAGCGCGUGCAGGUGGUUUAGUAAGUUGGAUGUGAAAUCUCCCGGCUCAACUGGGAGAGGUCGUUCAAAACUGCUAGGCUAGAGGACGGUAGAGGAAAGUGGAAUUCCAGGUGUAGUGGUGAAAUGCGUAGAUAUCUGGAGGAACACCAGUGGCGAAAGCGACUUUCUGGCCCGUUCCUGACACUAAGACGCGAAAGCUAGGGUAGCAAACGGG